Bos taurus (domestic cattle) is the source of this 1562-nucleotide long non-coding RNA. The record is from Ensembl. Lineage: Eukaryota; Metazoa; Chordata; Mammalia; Artiodactyla; Bovidae.
GGCGGGGUGGGGGCAGCGGCUGAGACCAUCGAGCGUGGGGAGCACUCUCCUCCCUCUCCCCGGAGCGUGCACGGAGGAGGUGCCGGGAGCGUCACGUGGAUGGGAGCCCGGUGGGAGAGCUACCCCUUCGGACUGUAGUGACUCACUUUGUUUUGGAGGAGGAAGUGUCCCCGCGCCGCCCCGGGCUCUUUUCGGAAACAGAGCGGAGGAACUGGCCGCACGUGCCUGUGACCACGCUGUCCGCGCAGCACCAGAGGGGGCAACGCCAGCCAUCCAGGUCAAGGCAGCGCUCCAGCGGAAACGCGUGACCCUGACCGGCAGGGCCCUUCCUCUGUCUUCCCCAGCCCAAACGGAAAGAGGAAUGUCAGAGCCAGAGCAAUUUCACAAGCCCAAGCCCCACUUCCUCUCUGAAGCUGUGACUACUCGACCGGGUGAUGGGUGACUGCCCUUUUCCUAAAGCAUCUGAACUUACUGCAAGCACCUUUUGGUCCACUGAGUCAUUCAUUCACUCAAGUUUCUAUCAUAAGAGCCACUGUGUUCAGGUCAGCUUAAUGUUUAGUCUUCAAUUAAAUUGUAGACUUAAGGUUAAGAACCAUAUCUCUUUUUCUCCUUACUAAGCACAUACUCUUUUUUCUUUUUAAUAUGUAUUUAUUUAUUUGGCUGUGUCAGGUCUUAGUUGUGUCAUGCGGGAUCUUUGUUGCAAGGCACACACUCUCUGGUUGUGGCAUGCAGGCUCCGUAGUUAGCCCCCGUCACCACCACCUUCUCCUUGCUUUGCCCCAUAAUGAACCUUGUCUGCUACAAGCUCCAGCCAUGUGGAAUUGUUUGGCCUCACUUGCCUUCAGUAAUACAGGGAGGGCAGAUGGGCCUGGGGGAUGGGGGGAGCCCCACUGCUCCUAGGGGGUCCUCCUGCUCCGCAGCCACGGAGCACCCUAUCUCCCCAACUUGGGCCACAUUGGACUCCAACGUAACAGCCAUCUCCUGGCUUCUAUUCAAUCCGUGACUUUUUCCUAGCUCCUUAGAUUCCCCAGAAGGAGUCAAAUCAGUUCAGUUCAGUUCAGUCACUCAAUCUCAUACACGACUGAAUGACUGAACUGAACUGACUGAACUGAUAAGCACCAAAUCUGUGAUACCCAAUAUGCGAUGUGUUCCCUCCUUGUGCAGUGCCCAGCCUGUAUAAUCAUAUGUGACAGAGGCUGUGAGGAGUAAAAUAUUGUCUAGGGAAAUUCAUGUGCUUGAUAGUAGCUCUGUCCGGAGAGAUUGUAACUCCUUGUCAGAAAGGUACAGAGUCUAUGGGCAGGUCCUCCCGUGAUGAUGGAAAAGUUCUGCACAUGUGUCUCCAGUACACACCUGCUGAAUGCAGCCAGUAAGACUAAGGAACUAAACUUUAUAUUUGAUUUAAUGCUGCUGACCCAUCCUGCUCCAUCUUACAGGAAUGCCUUAUUUCUCAAGACUCUCCUACAUUUGAAUGAAUGAAUGAAAGAAUGAACAAACGUUACUAUUAAACCCUGAACACAACUGACACAGAGCAAUGAAAAUAUUUAUGCUGACAAUAGAAAGCAC